This 253-nucleotide ribosomal RNA is filed under the name uncultured bacterium. RNAcentral describes it as "partial 16S ribosomal RNA". It matches the Rfam family "Bacterial small subunit ribosomal RNA", at positions 524 to 776 of the family's 1533-position model. The record is from RNAcentral.
UACGGAGGGUGCAAACGUUGCUCGGAAUCAUUGGGCGUAAAGCGCACGUAGGCGGUUUGUUAAGUCGGGUGUGAAAGCCCUGGGCUCAACCCAGGAAGUGCACUCGAAACUAGCAGGCUUGAAUAUGGAAGAGGGUCGCGGAAUUCCCGGUGUAGAGGUGAAAUUCGUAGAUAUCGGGAGGAACACCAGUGGCGAAGGCGGCGUUCUGGACUGCAACUGACACUGAGGAACGAAAGCCAGGGGAGCAAACGGG